GUAAAAAGUAGAAUAAUAGAUUUGAAAUAUUUAUUAUAUAGAUUUAAAGAGAUAAUCAUGGAGUAUAAAAAUUAAAUUUAAUAAAUUUAAUAUAACUAUUAAUAGAAUUAGGUUACUAAUAAAUUAAUAACAAUUAAUUUUAAAACCUAAAGGUAAACCUUUAUAUUAAUAAUGUUUUUUUUUUAUUUUUUAUAAUUAAGAAUAAUUAUUAAUAAUAAUAAACUAAGUGAACUGAAACAUCUAAGUAACUUAAGGAUAAUAAAUCAACAGAGAUAUUAUGAGUAUUGGUGAGAGAAAAUAAUAAAGGUCUAAUAAGUAUUAUGUGAAAAAAAUGUAAGAAAAUAGGAUAACAAAUUCUAAGACUAAAUACUAUUAAUAAGUAUAGUAAGUACCGUAAGGGAAAGUAUGAAAAUGAUUAUUUUAUAAGCAAUCAUGAAUAUAUUAUAUUAUAUUAAUGAUGUACCUUUUGUAUAAUGGGUCAGCAAGUAAUUAAUAUUAGUAAAACAAUAAGUUAUAAAUAAAUAGAAUAAUAUAUAUAUAUAAAAAAAUAUAUUAAAAUAUUUAAUUAAUAUUAAUUGACCCGAAAGCAAACGAUCUAACUAUGAUAAGAUGGAUAAACGAUCGAACAGGUUGAUGUUGCAAUAUCAUCUGAUUAAUUGUGGUUAGUAGUGAAAGACAAAUCUGGUUUGCAGAUAGCUGGUUUUCUAUGAAAUAUAUGUAAGUAUAGCCUUUAUAAAUAAUAAUUAUUAUAUAAUAUUAUAUAAAUAUUAUAUAAAGAAUGGUACAGCAAUUAAUAUAUAUUAGGGAACUAUUAAAGUUUUAUUAAUAAUAUUAAAUCUCGAAAUAUUUAAUUAUAUAUAAUAAAGAGUCAGAUUAUGUGCGAUAAGGUAAAUAAUCUAAAGGGAAACAGCCCAGAUUAAGAUAUAAAGUUCCUAAUAAAUAAUAAGUGAAAUAAAUAUUAAAAUAUUAUAAUAUAAUCAGUUAAUGGGUUUGACAAUAACCAUUUUUUAAUGAACAUGUAACAAUGCACUGAUUUAUAAUAAAUAAAAAAAAUAAUAUUUAAAAUCAAAUAUAUAUAUAUUUGUUAAUAGAUAAUAUACGGAUCUUAAUAAUAAGAAUUAUUUAAUUCCUAAUAUGGAAUAUUAUAUUUUUAUAAUAAUAAUAAAAAUAUAAAUACUGAAUAUCUAAAUAUUAUUAUUACUUUUUUUUUUAAUAAUAAUAAUAUGGUAAUAGAACAUUUAAUGAUAAUAUAUAUUAGUUAUUAAUUAAUAUAUGUAUUAAUUAAAUAGAGAAUGCUGACAUGAGUAACGAAAAAAAGGUAUAAACCUUUUCACCUAAAACAUAAGGUUUAACUAUAAAAGUACGGCCCCUAAUUAAAUUAUAUAAGAAUAUAAAUAUAUUUAAGAUGGGAUAAUCUAUAUUAAUAAAAAUUUAUCUUAAAAUAUAUAUAUUAUUAAUAAUUAUAUUAAUUAAUUAAUAAUAUAUAUAAUUAUAUUAUAUAUUAUAUUUUUAUAUAUAAUAUAUAUAAUAUAAACUAAUAAAGAUCAGGAAAUAAUUAAUGUAUACCGUAAUGUAGACCGACUCAGGUAUGUAAGUAGAGAAUAUGAAGGUGAAUUAGAUAAUUAAAGGGAAGGAACUCGGCAAAGAUAGCUCAUAAGUUAGUCAAUAAAGAGUAAUAAGAACAAAGUUGUACAACUGUUUACUAAAAACACCGCACUUUGCAGAAACGAUAAGUUUAAGUAUAAGGUGUGAACUCUGCUCCAUGCUUAAUAUAUAAAUAAAAUUAUUUAACGAUAAUUUUAUUAAAUUUAGGUAAAUAGCAGCCUUAUUAUGAGGGUUAUAAUGUAGCGAAAUUCCUUGGCCUAUAAUUGAGGUCCCGCAUGAAUGACGUAAUGAUACAACAACUGUCUCCCCUUUAAGCUAAGUGAAAUUGAAAUCGUAGUGAAGAUGCUAUGUACCUUCAGCAAGACGGAAAGACCCUAUGCAGCUUUACUGUAAUUAGAUAGAUCGAAUUAUUGUUUAUUAUAUUCAGCAUAUUAAGUAAUCCUAUUAUUAGGUAAUCGUUUAGAUAUUAAUGAGAUACUUAUUAUAAUAUAAUGAUAAUUCUAAUCUUAUAAAUAAUUAUUAUUAUUAUUAUUAUUAAUAAUAAUAAUAUGCUUUCAAGCAUAGUGAUAAAACAUAUUUAUAUGAUAAUCACUUUACUUAAUAGAUAUAAUUCUUAAGUAAUAUAUAAUAUAUAUUAUAUAUAUAUUAUAUAUAAUAUAAGAGACAAUCUCUAAUUGGUAGUUUUGAUGGGGCGUCAUUAUCAGCAAAAGUAUCUGAAUAAGUCCAUAAAUAAAUAUAUAAAAUUAUUGAAUAAAAAAAUAAUAUAUAUUAUAUAUAUUAAUUAUAAAUUGAAAUAUGUUUAUAUAAAUUUAUAUUUAUUGAAUAUAUUUUAGUAAUAGAUAAAAAUAUGUACAGUAAAAUUGUAAGGAAAACAAUAAUAACUUUCUCCUCUCUCGGUGGGGGUUCACACCUAUUUUUAAUAGGUGUGAACCCCUCUUCGGGGUUCCGGUUCCCUUUCGGGUCCCGGAACUUAAAUAAAAAUGGAAAGAAUUAAAUUAAUAUAAUGGUAUAACUGUGCGAUAAUUGUAACACAAACGAGUGAAACAAGUACGUAAGUAUGGCAUAAUGAACAAAUAACACUGAUUGUAAAGGUUAUUGAUAACGAAUAAAAGUUACGCUAGGGAUAA
Molecule: ribosomal RNA, 2732 nt
Filed under: Saccharomyces cerevisiae YJM1242
Lineage: Eukaryota; Fungi; Ascomycota; Saccharomycetes; Saccharomycetales; Saccharomycetaceae
Description: 21S ribosomal RNA
Rfam family: Bacterial large subunit ribosomal RNA
Source: RNAcentral